Cercocebus atys (sooty mangabey) is the source of this 541-nucleotide long non-coding RNA. RefSeq lists it as uncharacterized. The record is from RefSeq and is a predicted model, not a curated record. Lineage: Eukaryota; Metazoa; Chordata; Mammalia; Primates; Cercopithecidae. The transcript has 2 exons.
AAAAUAAAAUAAUAAAAUACAGAUUUCCGAGCCCCACUUUUAGCCUCACUGUAGUUCUUAUUCAGUAGAUCAGGGCAGGGCCCUAGAAUAUGGGGAGCCACAUCCCUGCAUAUUCUGAUGCAGGGAAUCAAGGAACCACACUUUGAAAAUAUUUCUUUUUCCUUAGGGCUCUCUGCUAUUUCUGUAAACAGUAGCUAUUGCUUCAGAGUAUCUUAAUUCUUAUAUUAAUUGCAUAAUUGUUGUUUAACCAACUGGUUUUCUGCAUUUCUCAGAAAUUAUGGUCACGACGAAUAUAGCUAUUUAAUUCUGAAAGAUACUUGUAAACCGCCUAUUUCACAAAAUUAAUUUGCUUAUUUUGUUGACAUUUUCACAACUGUAAGUAAUGUGAAUUAAGUAACAACUUUGCUUCAACUGUAGGAGAAUGUCAAAAUACUCCAGGAGAGAAGCAUUGCUUAUAUCAACUCAGAUUCAUCUAUAGAAGGCAAUUAUACUCUCAGAGUUGACUGUACACCCCUUCUUUACCAAUUAGUGUAUAAACUGA